GACGAACGCUGGCGGCGCGCUUAACACAUGCAAGUCGAACGGAAAGGCCUGCUUUCCCUUGUGGAUUGCGGGUACUCGAGUGGCGAACGGGUGAGUAACACGUGAGUGAUCUGCCCCCAACUUGGGUAUAAGCCUGGGAAACUGGGUCUAAUUCCCGAUAGGACUGCAGGGUGGUGCCUGUGGUGGAAAACGAUUUUCUAGUGGUUGGGGAUGAGCUCGCGGCCUAUCAGCUUGUUGGUGGGGUAAUGGCCUACCAAGGCGGCGACGGGUAGCCGGCCUGAGAGGGUGGACGGCCACAUUGGGACUGAGAUACGGCCAGACUCCUACGGGAGGCAGCAGUGGGGAAUAUUGCACAAUGGGCGGAAGCCUGAUGCAGCGACGCCGCGUGGGGGAUGACGGCCUUCGGGUUGUAAACUCCUUUCGACCGCGAGGAAGCCACCUGGUUGGAAGGGUGGUGACGGUAGUGGUAGAAGAAGCACCGGCUAACUACGU
Molecule: ribosomal RNA, 492 nt
Filed under: uncultured bacterium
Lineage: Bacteria
Description: partial 16S ribosomal RNA
Rfam family: Bacterial small subunit ribosomal RNA
Source: RNAcentral